This is a long non-coding RNA of Felis catus (domestic cat), 187 nucleotides long. RefSeq lists it as uncharacterized. The record is from RefSeq and is a predicted model, not a curated record. The transcript is spliced from 2 exons. NCBI's taxonomy places the organism in Eukaryota, Metazoa, Chordata, Mammalia, Carnivora, Felidae.
GUUUAGUAAGCUCUGUCAUCCAUUUUAGUACCUUUGGAUUGGCCGCAAUAUCACUGUAGGAGGGCUGAAAAAUUAAGGAACACUGACCCCUCUGUGCUCUGCGAGACCUUCCCAAAUACAUCUGGACUCCACUUGAAGGAGAUUACAUCUCAUUAAUUGCUCAUUGUUUGGAGGAUAUAAAUAAAUG